This 301-nucleotide unclassified non-coding RNA is filed under the name uncultured fungus. Its description in RNAcentral is "sequence contains ITS1". The record is from RNAcentral. Lineage: Eukaryota; Fungi.
GUGUUAUAUUUGUUGGCCAGUGACGGUCCAACGAUAUAUCUCACGUUCAUACAAAUCCAUACGAGUUUGUAAUUAACCGGAGAGAGAGAGAGAGAAAGAGUGGAGAGUGAGAGAGUUAUAUGCAAAGCACAUGCACUCUCUCUCCCUCCCCCUUCUUCUUCUUUCUUACUCCUUAGAACAGUGCACACGGGUUUAUGGAUGUAUAGUGGAUGCGAGCCGCCAGAGACACACUUAUUGUACGUCUGUAUGGCUGGCCCUUGAAUCUUCACUAAUGAUCCUUCUGCAGGUUCACCUACAGAAA